GCCUGGGGGGCUCAGUCAGUUAAGCAUCUGACUUUGGCUCAGGUCACGAUCUCACAGUUGGUGGGUUCAAGCCCCACUUCGGGCU
RNAcentral lists this transfer RNA (85 nucleotides) under Felis catus (domestic cat). It matches the Rfam family "tRNA". From Rfam's summary of the family: Transfer RNA (tRNA) molecules are approximately 80 nucleotides in length. Their secondary structure includes four short double-helical elements and three loops (D, anti-codon, and T loops). Lineage: Eukaryota; Metazoa; Chordata; Mammalia; Carnivora; Felidae. The record is from Rfam by way of RNAcentral.